UUAGUUAGUAUUGGUGUUUUAUGUUUGUUUUGUUCAAUUUUCAGUUGUCUGGUGUUCAGUGGUGAUAUUUUGAAACAAAGAUUCCUAACUUUGCAAUAGUUUAAACACUAAUUAAAUGAAACAACCACUGGCUUUCCUUUAUUGUGUGAGUGCUCUGCACAAUCAAACGUUUGGAUUAUGGAAUCAGUGAAAGAUAUGUCUCGUGAACUAGUCCGGGCUAAUUAAUCAGUGUUUUAUAAUUUCCAGUGUCAACAAUUG
RNAcentral lists this long non-coding RNA (258 nucleotides) under Glycine max (soybean). Its description in RNAcentral is "long non-coding RNA (GMAX_LNC001931)". Lineage: Eukaryota; Viridiplantae; Streptophyta; Magnoliopsida; Fabales; Fabaceae. The record is from RNAcentral.